Molecule: ribosomal RNA, 216 nt
Filed under: uncultured bacterium
Lineage: Bacteria
Description: partial 16S ribosomal RNA
Rfam family: Bacterial small subunit ribosomal RNA
Source: RNAcentral
UAUGUAACCUACCUUCUUCAGGGGGAUAGCCUCUCGAAAGAGAGAUUAAGACCGCAUAACAUUGCAAUGUGGCAUCACAAAGCAAUCAAAUAUUUAUAGGAAGAAGAUGGGCAUGCGGAACAUUAGCUAGUUGGUAAGGUAACGGCUUACCAAGGCUACGAUGUUUAGGGGAUCUGAGAGGAUGGCCCCCCACACUGGUACUGAGACACGGACCAG